AUUGAACGCUGGCGGCAGGCCUAACACAUGCAAGUCGAGCGGAUGAAGGGAGCUUGCUCCUGGAUUCAGCGGCGGACGGGUGAGUAAUGCCUAGGAAUCUGCCUGGUAGUGGGGGAUAACGUCCGGAAACGGGCGCUAAUACCGCAUACGUCCUGAGGGAGAAAGUGGGGGAUCUUCGGACCUCACGCUAUCAGAUGAGCCUAGGUCGGAUUAGCUAGUUGGUGGGGUAAAGGCCUACCAAGGCGACGAUCCGUAACUGGUCUGAGAGGAUGAUCAGUCACACUGGAACUGAGACACGGUCCAGACUCCUACGGGAGGCAGCAGUGGGGAAUAUUGGACAAAGGUCGAAAGCCUGAUCCAGCCAUGCCGCGUGUGUGAAGAAGGUCUUCGGAUUGUAAAGCACUUUAAGUUGGGAGGAAGGGCAGUAAGUUAAUACCUUGCUGUUUUGACGUUACCAACAGAAUAAGCACCGGCUAACUUCGUG
RNAcentral lists this ribosomal RNA (484 nucleotides) under uncultured bacterium. Its description in RNAcentral is "partial 16S ribosomal RNA". It matches the Rfam family "Bacterial small subunit ribosomal RNA", at positions 30 to 507 of the family's 1533-position model. The record is from RNAcentral.